UUAACCUUUAAGAUUUUUUCUCUAAUUAAAUUUCUGGUGGAUUUUGUCUCAGCUGGUCGUGUAAUAAAGAGGCCAAAGCAAGAAGACCGUCAGAGGCUGCAGGAGGCAGCAAUCCAGCUGCUGGAGCAGAACCAGAACAUCUGCAGUCUGUUCAGGGAGUUGGGGAAGCCAAAUCAGUGCAAUAUUUUAAGUUCUCAAAAUGAAGAAGCGAAACGGGACGAGUCUGGCAGUAUCUCCUCUGUUGUUGCUGGGUCACUGCUUGGGAGUGAGCUCCGGUGUCAAGCCAAACUGCUGGGUGUCCCUGUGACGGUGCUGUCUGUAAAAUCAGUGUUGGAAAGACUGAUGGAGAUCACCGAAGAGAAAAAGGAGGAAGAGGACGAGGACAGAGAGAUGCUCACAAUCUCUCAGAGAGUUCAGGUGGGUUUUCUGUUGGAGUCCAGCAGGGAGCUGCUUUCCCAGGGGAUCCUCUGCCCCAAACUGCUCUGGCAGGAGUUCAGGAGGGAUCAGGUGUGCAUACUCAGAUGGUCAUGCAUCAUAAAAAUGAGUCAAAAAGUAGAAGAAUAAUAUAAAUGAACAA
This 577-nucleotide long non-coding RNA is filed under the name Nothobranchius furzeri (turquoise killifish). RNAcentral describes it as "lncRNA (ENSNFUG00015022623.1)". Lineage: Eukaryota; Metazoa; Chordata; Actinopteri; Cyprinodontiformes; Nothobranchiidae. The record is from RNAcentral.